This 2669-nucleotide long non-coding RNA is filed under the name Homo sapiens (human). Its description in RNAcentral is "HSALNT0369035". Lineage: Eukaryota; Metazoa; Chordata; Mammalia; Primates; Hominidae. The record is from RNAcentral.
GCAGAGAAAGAUUUAAUUCAAGUAAUUAGGAAUUUCCAAAUUUAUUGGAAGGGCUUGAGAAGAAGGCUACACCAGUUCACAGUAUACAACAGUGAACAAAACAGACCAAAACAACUCUUAGUUCAUGGAGUUUACAUUCUAGUGUAGAAAGAGAAGCAAUAAACACAAUAAAAAAGCAAAAUUUGUUAUAUGUUAAAUUUUACAUACUUUAUGAUAAGUGCUAUAGAGAGAAAUAAAGCAGGGAAGCCGGAUAGGAUUUCUGGGACCAUUUAAAAUAGAGUGGUGAAGGAAGGCCUCACUGAUAAGGUGACAUUUGAGUAAAAUCCUAAAGAAAGCAAGGAAGCAGGCCAUAGAGAUAUUUGGUGGAAGGGCAUCUUAGGUAAAGGGAACAACAGAUGCAAGGGCCCUGAAGUGGGAGCAUAAAUUAUGUAUUUAAGAAACAGCAAGGAAGCUACUGUGGCUAAAGCUGAAUGAGAAAAGUGAGGGUCAUAAGAGAUGAGAUCUGAGCAGUAAGAUGGGGAGUGUGUGUGUGUGUGUGUGUGUGUGUGUGUGUGUGUGUGUUUGCAUGUGUGCAAAAUGUAAGGCAUUGUGGACCAUUAUAAUGAUUUUUUUCUCUUGGUGAGGUGAUAUUUUUCCAUUUGAGGAAAGGAAAAUUUGGACAAAGGAAUAACACAGUCUUACUGUUUUAAAAGGCGCACUCUUGGGGACAAGAGCAGGAGUAAACUGAGUGGCUUUCAGAAUAACCUGGACAAGAGAUGAUAGUGGCUUGGACUAUGAUAGUGAUGCAGGUGGUAAAAAGUGAUUAGAGAUAAUUAAAAGAUAACCCAUGAGUAAUUAUGACCCAACUAAGCUUGGGUAACAUUCAUUGGGUAGUUAUUGAUUAACUUUUGUUUUCCUACUCUAGAGGAACUUUCUCUAGUAAUGCCUAGGAGCUGAGGCUGUGAUGGAGAAUGCAAAGGUGACCACCCCAUUGGUGGGGAUUGGUAUGGCUGUAACAGUAAGUGGGCAAAGAUGAUCAUGGCUUGGGCCAAGGUGGUACUAGUAAAGGUGGUGAGAAGUUUCCAGACUCUGGAUUUAUUUUGAAAAUAAAACCAAGAUUUGUUGAUAAAUUGGGCAUGGAAUGCAAGCAAAAGUGAGAAAUCAGUGUGACUGUAGUUUUUUGUCCCCUUUUUUUUUGUUAUUGUUGGAGUUUACAUUAGUGAUAAUGACAAGACUUCAAGAAGAACAGAUUUUGUGGGAAAUAUCAGGAGCUCAUUUUGAACCUGCUGAGUUCGAGAUGCCUUUGAUACAUCUAAAUGUAGAUGCCAAGUUGGCAACUGGAUAUAUGAGCAUAGAGCUCAGGAGAGUUUAAAGAAAAUUUUAUUAGUUAACAUUGUUGAGGUAACUAACAAGCACCAAAUCUCAGUGGAUUACAGCAACAAACGUUCAUUUCCUGCUCUUGCUACAUAUGGGCUACAGAUUGAUUACAGCUCUGCUCUAGGUUGUGGGCCAGCAAAUAGGUCGGAUUCAAGUGUCUUCUAAUCUUGUGCCUAGGCUAAAAGAACAGCCCCUGUCUGUGCUAUACUCGUGGCAAAGGGCAGAAGCAAGAGAGACCAAACUAAUCCAUUCAAUCCAGUUUAAAGAUUCUCCUUGCAUAUGGUGUACACCACGUAUUUCCAUUCUAUUCCAUUCCACCAGCCAAAAAAAGUCACAUAACUCAGCCCUGCAAUGUGGCAAAAAAUGUAUACUCUGCUCAGCAGAGGCAUUUAAAGACAAAUCCAAAGGGUGCGGAUGUAUAAUAGUCAUAGAAGGGAGAAAGCAAGUAGUUGUAAACCAUAAUUUAAUCUACCACAAAGUGAGUAUAGAUAGUGAAGAGAAGAAAUCCAAAGCCUGAGAUAUUUCAAUAUUCAGAGGUCAGGGAAAUAAGGAGAAACCAACAAAGGAGACUGAGAAGGAAGAGAUAGUAAGGUAGGGAGAAACAUUGGAAGUCAAGAAAAGAAAGUGUCUCCAGAAGAAAGGAGGGAUCAGCUGUGUCCCAUACUGCUCAUAGGUCAAGCAAGAUGUGGGCUGACAUUGACCAUUACAUUUAGCAAUGUGGAAAUAUUGAGUGAUAGUGAUGACAGAGUUAAUGGCAUGGUGGGGGAUGCUAUGGUUUGAAUGUCUGUCCCCUCCCACACAAGUUGAAGUUUAAUUGCUAUUGUGACAGUAUUAAAAGGUGGGAUAUUUAAGAGGUAAUUAGGUCAUGAGCACUCUACCCUCAUGAAUGGAUUAAUGCCAUUAUCUCAGAAAUAGAGUUGUUAUCGUUGGAGUAGAAUCCUUAUAAAAGGAUGAGUUCAGCUCUGUUUUGUCUCUCUCACCCUCUCUUUGCCCUUCUGCCAUGGGAUGCUGUCCACCAUGGGAUGAUGCAGCAAGAAGGCCCUGGCAAGAUGCACUUUUCAAUCUUGGACUUCCCAGCCUCCAGAAGUGUGAGCCAAUAAAUCUCUGAGGGUUCUGUUCUAUGUCAUUUCCUUUGAAGUCAGUGGGAACUCUGUGCAGGACGGCAACAUGAACACCGGCCUCUAUACAUGAAGGCCAUCAAGUGGUUAACAUAUAGACAGUAUUUAAAUCCUUGGGACUGGAUGAGAUUACCAAGGGAGGAAAUGUAGAUGAAGGAGAAGAGAAAGGAUGGAGUUCUGGAGCACUACAAAUUU